AGAGACCGUUAUUUAUAACCUAUACCCAGUAUCUCUCCUAUUUGACUGUAUUUGCCAAAUGCUUAUAUAAAACGUGACAACGGAUUUUAUCACUGCAUAUUUGUUUUAAAAAAGUUAUAAUUCAAAGUAUUAUUUUCCCUCCCUGAAAUUAGAUAUGUUGUGCGAAAAUAUAUGUUCAGAAUGAAUAUUAUUCACAAUUUCUGUAAGUCUGUUUAAUGUAAUUCUGCAUUCACUAGAUGAAAGCAAUAAUUUUCUAAAUACCUAAUAUCCAUUUCUGACUUGAAAACUUUAUAAAAGAAGGAUAUACACAUCAAAUUUAGCACACACUAACUUGGGCAAAAGCAGCAAACCAGAAGUUCAGCAGAGAUUGUUCAGUGAUUUGCCAAGUUUCAGUUUGUGUUGAUGUUAAAUAUGUUUAAAAAACACAGACUUGUUUUUAUUUGCUUAGCAAAGAAAAACAUCCCUGAGCUAAAACCAAAUGUUAUCAGAAGAGGUGUGAGUGGGUAUUUGCAUACAUAAGUUAUGCCAAUUUAGUAGAAUUAGAAUACUUUUGAAACAUUUAUGAUCUUGAAAACCCUUUCCCUAUUUCCGGUGAUUCCAUUUCUGUUUCUGUGGGAAUGGAAACAGAAGUGAAGGAGAGCUAGAAAAAGAGAAGUUAGAAUAGAACUCUUGUAAGUUUUUAGUAGCUGAGGCUGAGCGCUACAAAAGCUGUCUUCCUUGCCAAAAGCACAUACAGGCAUUUGGAGCCAAAAAAUCUGUUUAAAGCUUUGUGGCAAGAGGUAGACAAACUAUCAUUAAAAAGAACUACUCCAAUAUGUUUUUCUCCCAGUUUCUAGAUGUAAUGAUCUGAAAGAAAGUAAACAGGCUAGAAGUCCAGACUUGCUAUUUAAGUGCUAAGUAUUAUAUUUACGUAGUUAUACAGGACACUUAAGCAGCUAUAACUUUCAUGAGGCAAUCAGAUGCUGAAUUACAUAAUACCCAUUUAAUGCUUGUGUCUGUAUAAAAGCAGAGAAUCAGAUCUUUUGCAGUAACAACAAAUAAAUCACUCAACUAUUGUACGUGAACAGUUGUACAUAAAAUCUGUACAUAGUGGACUAGGACAUCAGUGACUUUUACCCUGAAAUAUUGAUUAUUUUAUAGAAAUAUUGAUUAUUUCAUAGAAACAGAGAUUGGAAAUGGAGAAGUAUUUCUUUUUUAAGCACGCAGAAAUGUGCUCGAUCUCUCCAUUCUCCUCAUCCCUUCUUCAGUUUCCAUAGUUCUCCUCUUUGUUCCCAUUAGCUACAUGUUACUACCCUCUCUCUUCUCUCUCAUUUUUGUACAAAAGAGCUGAAGGUGGGUGAAGCCUGCCUUCACAGAGCAGCUCGAUUCCUUCAGAAACCCACAACUCGUUAUAGCAAGGCUGUCAUGAAGUGACCAAUCCCAUCUGGGAAAAGGGUGCAGUUUACGGUAGGCUUCAAUCCAUUGAACAUAAAAUAUGCAACAAAAUAAUCACUGGACUGUGCAGCAGGGUAUAGCAAAAACUAUACAAAAUAUGGAGGUACCUGGGGGUAGCGCCCUUUACAAGCUCUCAGAUAACACAAUGAAGAAUGCAGUAUAUCAGGUAUUCAGAUAAAAUUGAGGAAUGUAAUGUAAAUGCCUAGAUAAAUUAUAUACAGAGGAACCUACGUGUUCAAAUACCAAUACAACAGGAUUAAUGAAUGACAAUGGGGAUGCCUUGCUUUUGUAAAUUUGCCUAUUCAUCAUUUUAUUCAAAUAAUACAUUUGUAUAUAUUGUAAAAUACACCCUAAAGUAUUCUGCACUGUGACUAGCUGAAUACUGUAUGAGAAUACAGUCACAGUACAUACAUAUCCUAAGUUGGCAUCCUAACAGGAAAAUGAUUCAGCCCCAAGUAAUGUCUCUCUAGAUCAUUAAUUAUGAGAGACUAUUUGGGAAUGAAACAUUGAACAAAAUCCAGUCCUUGGGGAUUUGUGUAAAUAAAUAAUAAAUAUGCUUAUUCUUUUGGGGAACAGAGAGAAAGUAAUUUCAUAGCACUAAAAGGCAUUCACAUACUGUGAACCACUAUGGAUCUGAAAGGAACUGGCGCUUUCACAGUAAAUAGCACUCAAAAUUUAAAGACUUUCUUUUGACAACAUUUCCAUUUGAAGUCAGAUAUUAGAAAUGCAGUGUGCCGGAAAGAUCAAUUUCUCUAUCCUUUUCUUCACUCCCUUCUAUGUGAAUCUGAUUGCUGGUGAGGGCUGCAAACCUGAGCUAUGAAGUCCAAUCACCCAGCAAAACAGUCUGCACGAUGAUUUGUGUGGAGUCACUGUCAUCCAAGCCCGCAGCAGUAAGCAGAACAGCCAGUGCCAUGAUGCCAUCUUCCAGGAAGCCAAGAAAGUGCCUCCUUUUCUGGAUCAGAAGAGAUAGCAAGAUGCAAAGUAGAGGGAUAAGGAGAGGAAGGAUCUGGUGCAGGGGAGGCCAAACCCAAGCACCUGUACCCUGCAUCAAUCUGGGCAGGUUCCCAGCAGCAAGAGAAGUCUGGGGAGCAU
Molecule: long non-coding RNA, 2526 nt
Organism: Chelonia mydas (Green sea turtle)
Lineage: Eukaryota; Metazoa; Chordata; Testudines; Cheloniidae
Exons: 3
Source: RefSeq, a predicted model, not a curated record